AACGCACCUUGCGCUCCUUGGUAUUCCGAGGAGCAUGCCUGUUUGAGUGUCAUGAAAUUCUCAACCUUUUCAGCUUUUUCUGUUGAUCAGGCUUGGAUGUGGGAGUAUGCGGGCUUCUCAUCUCAGAGGUCGGCUCUCCUGAAAUGCAUUAGCGGGACCUUUGUUGCCUGGCUUUGGUGUGAUAAAUUAUUUAUGCCAUCGUGAAGAGCAGCUUUAUAAAUGGGGUUCAGCUUCUAAAUGGUCUCCUUUGAGACCAACUUCUGACAAUUUGACCUCAAAUCAGGUAGGACUACCCGCUGAACUUAA
This 306-nucleotide unclassified non-coding RNA is filed under the name Tricholoma sp. Its description in RNAcentral is "partial contains 5.8S ribosomal RNA, internal transcribed spacer 2, and large subunit ribosomal RNA". The stretch from base 1 to 52 matches the Rfam family "5.8S ribosomal RNA", at positions 103 to 154 of the family's 154-position model. The record is from RNAcentral. Lineage: Eukaryota; Fungi; Basidiomycota; Agaricomycetes; Agaricales; Tricholomataceae. RNAcentral also lists the same sequence under 2 other names.